RNAcentral lists this ribosomal RNA (432 nucleotides) under uncultured bacterium. RNAcentral's name for it is "partial 16S ribosomal RNA". It matches the Rfam family "Bacterial small subunit ribosomal RNA", at positions 29 to 507 of the family's 1533-position model. The record is from RNAcentral.
ACGAACGCUGGCGGCAUGCCUAACACAUGCAAGUCGCACGAGACCUUCGGGUCUAGUGGCGCACGGGUGCGUAACGCGUGGGAACCUGCCCUUAGGUUCGGAAUAACUCCCCGAAAGGGGUGCUAAUACCGGAUAAUGUCUUCGGACCAAAGAUUUAUCGCCUUUGGAUGGGCCCGCGUUGGAUUAGCUAGUUGGUAGGGUAAAAGCCUACCAAGGCGACGAUCCAUAGCUGGUCUGAGAGGAUGAUCAGCUACACUGGGACUGAGACACGGCCCAGACUCCUACGGGAGGCAGCAGUGGGGAAUAUUGGACAAUGGGCGAAAGCCUGAUCCAGCAAUGCCGCGUGAGUGAUGAAGGCCUUAGGGUUGUAAAGCUCUUUUACCCGGGAUGAUAAUGACAGUACCGGGAGAAUAAGCGCCGGCUAACUCCGUG